RNAcentral lists this long non-coding RNA (208 nucleotides) under Lathyrus oleraceus (garden pea). RNAcentral's name for it is "Pisum sativum (pea) long non-coding RNA (PSAT_LNC022682)". The record is from RNAcentral. Lineage: Eukaryota; Viridiplantae; Streptophyta; Magnoliopsida; Fabales; Fabaceae.
CGCUCUCCAAAAACUUGUGAUAAUUCCGCUGGCAACGUCGGAAAUAACACCAAAACUCCAUUCUGAUGGCGACAUAUCAGAGGGUACACCUUCACAAAAGGAAGGUAACAUGUGCAAUUCUUCCUCAGAAGACACCCAUAACGACCUCUGUUGGCCUCAGCCAAAGUCUAAGGCGACACAUGAACAGAAGAUAAUCCUGAGGACCUCA